Molecule: ribosomal RNA, 398 nt
Filed under: uncultured bacterium
Lineage: Bacteria
Description: bacterial SSU rRNA
Rfam family: Bacterial small subunit ribosomal RNA
Source: RNAcentral
GGAAUCUUAGACAAUGGGGGAAACCCUGAUCUAGCCAUGCCGCGUGAUCGAUGAAGGCCUUAGGGUUGUAAAGAUCUUUCAGUUGGGAAGAUAAUGACGGUACCAAAAGAAGAAGCCGCGGCUAACUCCGUGCCAGCAGCCGCGGUAAUACGGAGGGGGCUAGCGGUAUUCGGAAUUACUGGGCGUAAAGCGCGCGUAGGCGGGCUGUUAAGUCGGGGGUGAAAUCCCGGGGCUCAACCCCGGAACUGCCUUCGAUACUGGCAGCCUGGAGUCCGAGAGAGGUGAGUGGAAUUCCGAGUGUAGAGGUGAAAUUCGUAGAUAUUCGGAGGAACACCAGUGGCGAAGGCGGCUCACUGGCUCGGUACUGACGCUGAGGUGCGAAAGCGUGGGGAGCAAAC